Molecule: long non-coding RNA, 543 nt
Organism: Schistocerca gregaria
Lineage: Eukaryota; Metazoa; Arthropoda; Insecta; Orthoptera; Acrididae
Exons: 3
Source: RefSeq, a predicted model, not a curated record
UUCAGUAUCUCCUAUUCUUAACUGUGAUUUGUCGCAGUCAAGAGUCGCAGUUAAGGAACGUAGGUCGCAUAUCCCUCCGCCACUGCUUUUUCUGCUACUUCCGCGAUUUCUGCGAUUUUUGUGACUUCUGCGAUUUCUGUGACUUCUGCGAUUUCUGCGACUUACCACCGUAUGAAAAAGUUACAUCUGCCCACACAGAAAAUUGCAUCUCAACAAAUCUGUCAUUGGUACCCGAACUACAUUUCUGUCACUCAGUAAAUUGAUAACUCAAAAUAUCAUUGUCAACAGAUCUGGAGAAAUUGCCACUGUGUCUUUAGACCAUUUUCGUCAGACGAGAGACACAGUUCUGACUCUUGAUUACUGGUUGCUGUACGUAUCUAUCCACAUCAAGGCUAUUGAGAGAGACUCAUGAAGAUUCAAGACAGCUCUUAGAGGAUUUGCAGUUUAAAAGUGACAUAAUUGUGAAAUAAGUGUGCAGAUGAGUGAUUAAACUGUGUUUUAUUGAAGUUGUUAUGCGAUUUUAAAGGAAUAAUAAAUGUUAAA